RNAcentral lists this ribosomal RNA (253 nucleotides) under uncultured bacterium. RNAcentral's name for it is "partial 16S ribosomal RNA". It matches the Rfam family "Bacterial small subunit ribosomal RNA", at positions 524 to 776 of the family's 1533-position model. The record is from RNAcentral.
UACGUAGGGCGCAAGCGUUGUUCGGAAUUACUGGGCGUAAAGAGUGUGUAGGCGGUGUUCCAAGUCUGGUGUGAAAUCUCCCGGCUUAACUGGGAGGGUGCAUUAGAAACUGGAAUGCUAGAGGAUGGGAGAGGUAAGCGGAAUUCCUGGUGUAGCGGUGAAAUGCGUAGAUAUCAGGAGGAACACCUGUGGUGUAGACAGCUUACUGGACCAUUUCUGACGCUGAGACACGAAAGCGUGGGUAGCAAACAGG